UCCGGUUUGUCACCGGCAGUCCCUCUAGAGUUAUCAGCUUAACCUGUUAUCAACUAAAGGCAAGGGUUGCGCUCGUUGCGGGACUUAACCCAACAUCUCACGACACGAGCUGACGACAACCAUGCACCACCUGUCUCCUCUGUCUCCGAAGAGAAGGAUCUAUCUCUAAAUCUGUCAAAGGGAUGUCAAGCCCUGGUAAGGUUCUUCGCGUUGCGUCGAAUUAAACCACAUGCUCCGCUGCUUGUGCGGGUCCCCGUCAAUUCCUUUGAGUUUCAUUCUUGCGAACGUACUCCCCAGGCGGAGUGCUUAAUGCGUUAGCUGCGGCACUGAAGGAUGUCUCCUCCAACACCUAGCACUCAUCGUUUACGGCGUGGACUAC
This 379-nucleotide unclassified non-coding RNA is filed under the name uncultured Eubacteriales bacterium. Its description in RNAcentral is "contains 16S-23S intergenic spacer region". The record is from RNAcentral. Lineage: Bacteria; Bacillati; Bacillota; Clostridia; Eubacteriales.